UUAUAGCUCAAUUGGUAGAGCAUAAGACUUGUAAUCUCAGGGUUGUGGGUUCGAACCUCACGUUGGACAA
Podarcis lilfordi (Lilford's wall lizard) is the source of this 70-nucleotide non-coding RNA. Lineage: Eukaryota; Metazoa; Chordata; Lepidosauria; Squamata; Lacertidae. The record is from the annotation of a GenBank genome assembly.